AAACAUGUCUUUUUGUAAAUAAUUUAAAGUUUAAUCUGCCCACUGAUNAAAUUAUUAAAGGGCUGCAGUAUUUUGACUGUACAAAGGUAGCAUAAUCAUUAGUCUCUUAAUUGGUGACUUGUAUGAAAGAUUGGAUGAGAUAUAUACUGUCUCUAUUUAAUUUAUAAAAUUUAAUUUUUUAGUAAAAAAGCUAAAAUGUUUUUAAAAGACGAGAAGACCCUAUAGAGUUUAAUAAUUUAUUUAAUUAUUAUUAAUAUAUAAAUCUUAAAAUUAAAAUUAAAUAAGUUAUUUUGUUGGGGUGAUAAAAAAAUUAAAUUAACUUUUUUUUUAUUUUAUACAUUAAUUUAUGAAUAAAUGAUCCAUUAAUAGUGAUUAAAAGAAAAAAUUACCUUAGGGAUAACAGCGUAAUUUUUUUUUUUAGUUCAAAUAGGAAAAAAAGUUUGCGACCUCGAUGUUGGAUUAAGAUAAAAUUUAAAUGCAAAAG
RNAcentral lists this ribosomal RNA (484 nucleotides) under Papilio pericles. RNAcentral's name for it is "partial 16S ribosomal RNA". The record is from RNAcentral. Lineage: Eukaryota; Metazoa; Arthropoda; Insecta; Lepidoptera; Papilionidae.